Molecule: long non-coding RNA, 988 nt
Organism: Stomoxys calcitrans (stable fly)
Lineage: Eukaryota; Metazoa; Arthropoda; Insecta; Diptera; Muscidae
Exons: 2
Source: RefSeq, a predicted model, not a curated record
GCCUCAUAAGGAAUGUAGACAAGACAAAAAGUACAUAAAUUAAAGACUAACUUGUUUGGUUAGAUAAAGCGAUAAAACCAAGUAACGUCAUUUCUACGACUUGCGACUAUUGCUUGCGUGUUGUUGCUUAAAAGCUUAUCUACUAUCUUCCAUGCAUGCAUGUGUGGUUGGUUGGUGGGGUAAUUGUAUCACAUGUAAAACGCAAUUACUCAUUGCCAUCGCAGCACAGCACAACACAGCAAUAAGGUGAUGAAGGAAUAGUGAAAAAUAGAAAAAUACAGAACGACGAAACGAGGAACGAAUAUAGGGAGGCGCUACAUACUCGUGCAUUGAAUGAGACACACACACACACUCCUACAAAGAAUACAAUGAGUUCAAAAGAGAACGAGAGAGAUGGCCUUACAAAAGACGUUUUUCUUCAUCUCUCAUACGCGGGCAUCAAGUAACACCACACAUAGAUAUGAGGAGACACUGCAGUGUAAACGAUCAUGAGUUAUGUAGUUAAUUGUGUUACAAAGGUUGCCACUGUUAUUGAAAUCGAAAAAAAACCUAUACAAUCAACCAGCCAGUCAGUCAGCAUCCACAUAAUUAAUGAUUGACAUUUAAAUGACACUUGGGGUAUGAUUUAAAUAAAUAUGUGAAGUUGUGUUUUGUAGCUUUUUCAUUCAUCAUCUUUCACAAUGCAAUAAUUAAUUUCAGGCCCCCGAGGAAAAUUUCAUAAUUUCUUUUGUAGCUAGCACUUUCAUUUGGAAAAAGAGAAAAUAUUGGCAGUAUUAUCUAUAUAUAUUGUAACACACAAAAACAACGAAUACAGCAACCGAUCGCUUUGUAGAAGUUUUGUGGGCAAAGAAAAGCCAACAAAAUUUCACACAAACUCCUAUUUACUGAGGGACACAACACACACACACAAACACAAAAUCAACCGCUCGAUCAACCCGCCGCGCCAAACAUCCGACCAACUUCGCUCGUACGAUGAACAUGAAAUAAA